CUAGAACACUCCUGUUAACCCUGUCAGUUCUAGAACACUCCUGUUAACCCUGUCAGUUCUAGAACACUCCUGUUAACCCUGUCAGUUCUAGAACACUCCUGUUAACCCUGUCAGUUCUAGAACAUUCCUGUUAACCCUGUCAGUUCUAGAACACUCCUGUUAACCCUGUCAGUUCUAGAACACUCCUGUUAACCCUGUCAGUUCUAGAACACUCCUGUUAACCCUGUCAGUUCUAGAACACUCCUGUUAACCCUGUCAGUUCUAGAACAUUCCUGUUAACCCUGUCAGUUCUAGAACACUCCUGUUAACCCUGUCAGUUCUAGAACACUCCUGUUAACCCUGUCAGUUCUAGAACACUCCUGUUAACCCUGUCAGUUCUAGAACACUCCUGUUAACCCUGUCAGUUCUAGAACAUUCUUGUUGACCCUGUCAGUUCUAGAACAUUCCUGUUGACCCUGUCAGUUCUAGAACAUGAACACUACUACAGUCAGAUAAAUACACUGACAGGAUCCCAGUCUGGUCCGGCCACACUACACUACCCAGAGUUCCACAGCAGGUUUAGUCACACGGUAGUCAGGUUAUUGCCUUGCUAAUGGCUGGUGUUAUACACUGUUACUAUGGUUACUGUGAGAGAGACAGAGCUAGUGACGUUAACAGAACUACAGUAGGCCGGUGAAAUGGUUGGUGAAAUGGUCGGUGAAAUGGUCGGUGAAAUGGUCGGUGAAAUGGUUGGUGUCUGUGUCCGGGGGGACUGAGGUGACCAUUGUGACACUGAGUUCAAACACAGAGGCCACACAACAUACAUUGUUCUGUUCUGACGAGAGAGCGAGAGAGAGAGAGAGAGAGAGAGUUUGGCUUCUCUCCUCUCUUUGUGUUGUAGUGUCUCUGUAGUGUCUCUGUCUCUCUAGACCUGGUUGUAGUGUCUCUCUAGACCAGGUUGUAGUGUCUCUCUAGACCAGGUUGUAGUGUCUCUGUAGUGUCUCUCUAGACCAGGUUGUAGUAUCUCUCUAGACCAGGUUGUAGUGUCUCUGUAGUGUCUCUCUAGACCAGGUUGUAGUGUCUCUGUAGUGUCUCUCUAGACCAGGUUGUAGUGUCUCUGUAGUGUCUAUCUAGACCAGGUUGUAGUGUCUCUCUAGACCAGGUUGUAGUGUCUCUGUCUCUCUAGACCAGGUUGUAGUAUCUCUCUAGACCAGGUUGUAGUGUCUCUCUAGACCAGGUUGUAGUGUCUCUGUCUCUCUAGACCAGGUUGUAGUGUCUCUCUAGACCAGGUUGUAGUGUCUCUCUAGACCAGGUUGUAGUGUCUCUCUAGACCAGGUUGUAGUGUCUCUCUAGACCAGGUUGUAGUGUCUCUCUAGACCAGGUUGUAGUGUAUAUCUAGACCAGGUUGUAGUGUCUCUCUAGACCAGGUUGUAGUGUCUCUCUAGACCAGGUUGUAGUGUCUCUCUAGACCAGGUUGUAGUGUCUCUGUCUCUCUAGACCAGGUUGUAGUGUCUCUCUAGACCAGGUUAUAGUGUCUCUCUAGACCAGGUUGUAGUGUCUCUCUAGACCAGGUUGUAGUGUCUCUGUAGUAUCUCUCUAGACCAGGUUGUAGUAUCUCUCUAGACCAGGUUGUAGUGUCUCUGUAGUAUCUCUCUAGACCAGGUUGUAGUGUCUCUCUAGACCAGGUUGUAAAGUAACAGGUCUUUAUCUCCAGGAUAACUGAAACAUGAACAACACUACAACCAUGUUAGAUUAACAAAGCUACGACCAGGUGAUAUUAACAACACUACGACCAGGUUAGAUUAACGACCAGGUUAGAUUAACGACCAGGUUAGAUUAACAACACUACGACCAGGUUAGAUUAACAACACUACGACCAGGUUAGAUUAACAACACUACGGCCAGGUUAGAUUAACAACCCUACAACCAGGUUAGAUUAACAACACUACGACCAGGUUAUCUGAACAACACUACGACAAGGUUAGAUUAACAACACAACGACCAGGUUAGAUUAACGACCAGGUUAUAUUAUCAACACUAUGAUCAUGUUAGAUUAACAACACUACGACCAGGUUAGAUUAACAACACUACGGCCAGGUUAGAUUAACAACACUACGACCAGGUUAGAUUAACAACACUACGACCAGGUUAGAUUAACAACACUACGACCAGGUUAGAUUAAUAACACUACGACCAGGUUAGAUUAACAACACUACAAUCAGGUUAUCGGAACAACAGUAAGACCAUGUCAGAUUAAUGACCAGGUUAGAUUAACGACCAGGUUAGAUUAACAACACUACAACCAGGUUAGAUUAACGACCAGGUUAGAUUAACGACCAGGUCAGAUUAACGACCAGGUUAGAUUAACAACACUAUGACCAGGUUAGAUUAACAACCAGGUCAUAUUAACAACACUACGACCAGGUUAGAUUAACGACCAGGUCAGAUUAACGACCAGGUUAGAUUAACAACACUACGCCCAAAUUAUAUUAAAAACACUACGACCAGGUUAGAUUAACGACCAGGUUAGAAUAACAACAACACUACGACCAGGUUAGAUUAACGACCAGGUUAGAUUAACAACAGUACGACCAGGUUAGAUUAACAACACUACAACUAGGUUAGAUUAACGACCAGGUUAGAAUAACAACACUACGACCAGGUUAGAAUAACAACCAGGUUAGUUUAACAACACUACGACCAGGUUAGAUUAACAACAGUACGACCAGGUUACAUUAACAACACUACAACCAGGUUAGAUUAACGACCAGGUUAGAAUAACGACCAGGUUAUAUUAACAACACUACGACCAGGCACACACAGUCUCAAAUGGAACCCUUUUCCACAGCUCCCUAUGUGGCCCCUGGUCAAAAGUAGUGCACUAUGUAGGGGAUAGAGUACCAUUUGGGUCAACCCCAAACUAAUCUUCCUCUGUGCUGAACCCCUCCACAGAACCAGUGAACCAUCUUGACCGGUUCUGUGGCUCAGGACCCUCCUGGGUCCCCAGUGUUGUGGAACAUUACCGAAUAAACAGGUUUACAAAGUUAUUGUUGUGUGGGUUUUUUUUCCGUUCACUUGCAUCCUCCCCUCCCCUCCCCCCGUUCAGGAUGAAAAUGGUUUAGUCCACUGACUCCGCUCAGCUGUCCAUCACACACUCUCCAUAAUGAUCACCACAGAAUCCUCCUCAGCCAAUGGGGUGUCUCCUGGGGCGGGGCUACACAGGGUUAGUCCCUCCCCUGACACCUGAUCUCUAACCGGGCAGUCCAGGCUGUCGUGGAGCUCGCUCACCCCUUCCACUUCUCCUUCAUCGCCUCCUCCUCCUCUCCUCCCUUCCCCUGCUUCCUCCACUCCCUCCUCCUCCUCCUCUUCCUCCUCCUCCUCCUCCUCCUCCUCCUCCUCGUCUUCCUCAACCUGACAGCGGCACACCUCGAUGCCCGAGUCCCCUGUUAGACGGCGGUGACGAUACUGACUCGCAUCAGCCCCAACUUCCUCCUGCUCUUCCUCUUCCUCCUCCUCCUCCUCUCCCUCGCUCCUGUAGGUGUGGGGGACAAGCUGGUACACGUCCACGCAGGGGGAGAACAGGGUCUGCUUGGGGGGAGACUGGGUGGGCCUGGGGGAGAAAGGGGGAGGAGAGGAGGGGGAGAAAGGGGGAGGAGAGGACAAGGGAGAGACAGGGGGAGGAAAGCAGGAGGGAGAGACCGAGAGGGUAGAGGCUGGGGAGAGCGUAGAGGCUGGGGAGAGCGCAGAGAGGGUAGGGGCUAGAGAGGCUAGGGUUAGGGUAGGAGAAUGGGCUGGGGAGAGCGCAGAGAGGGUAGGAGGUUGGGCUGGGGAGAGCGCAGAGAGGGUAGGGGCUGGAGAGGCUAGGGUUAGGGUAGGAGUUUGGGCUGGGGAGAGCGUAGAGAGGGUAGGGGCUAGAGAGGCUAGGGUUAGGGUAGGAGUUUGGGCUGGGGAGAGCGCAGAGAGGGUAGGGGCUGGAGAGGCUAGGGUUAGGGUAGGAGGUUGGGCUGGGGAGAGCGCAGAGGGG
RNAcentral lists this long non-coding RNA (4003 nucleotides) under Salmo salar (Atlantic salmon). Its description in RNAcentral is "lncRNA (ENSSSAG00000084811.1)". The record is from RNAcentral. Lineage: Eukaryota; Metazoa; Chordata; Actinopteri; Salmoniformes; Salmonidae.